UGGGGAUUGAACCCAAGGCCUUUACACUGAGCUAAGUCCCCAGCCAUUUAUUUAUUUAUUUAAAUUGUAAGUAGUGGUGGAAGCCAAGAGAUGGAUGGGGAGGAAAGGAUAGGGGAAGAAAAAAAGGAAUUAAGAUGUGUUACGUACCUUUACCAGCAUUGUCUACUACACACAUGUACUAACAAAAAAAAUUAAAAUAAUUGAAACGGUUUUUGAUCCAGGGUCUCACUAAGUCACUAAGUUGUCCAAGCUGGGUUGGAAUUUGGCAUCUUCCUGCCCCCGUAUGCCAGCAUGUCGGGGAUUACAGGUGUGUUCUAUUUUUAAUGCUAGACUUUGAUAUUUACUUGUUGACUGACACCAGUUAGCUCAGAUAAUGUACUUGAUAUUUCUUACACAAAACCCCAUGAAGAUUCCAGCAAGUCUGCAAAAUCACAGUGAGGAAGCUCCAGAACCGAAGGUCCCCAAAAGCCGGCAGAGCUCAUGGGCCAUAAUCCCAACCUGGCCUGCAGCCGACCCACCACACCACGGUCCCACAGAAAUCUGUCUGAGAGCUGAGCACCCUGAGAGGAGCUGUUGUUAACACACGACUCACCCUGGAAGCAAGCAGCGGGGCUGGGCUGGUGCGGGGCUGGUGGCCUGGCUCUCAGCGAAGGUUCUCAGGGAAGCCAGCCAGGGAGGUGAAUGGCUCAGAAGGAGCAGGGAGCUCGGCGCCGGGACGCACAUCACCCUCAUCCUGAGAUUUCCCAGAGGGGACCGAGCCCUUGGCGUCUUCCAUGCUCCCGUGUCCCAGGCACCAUGGAUAAGGCUGAUCUUCCUCCGGCCAGGCCUGUGCUUUGUCAGCCAGCACACAGUCCUGCUCCCUGCAGAGAUGGCAGGACUGUGGAGAGGAAGCCAGGCCGCGGGAAGCCACGGCAGGGCCUGGCAGCGGGAGGGGGAAGGGGAAGCCAGUGUGCAGUCCACGCCCCUCUGCUGCCACCCAGCUUCCUCCAGGCCCGGCCAAGACAGCACUGUGUCUGCGAGGGACGUGGCCGAGCGAGCUUCACAGGGGCAGCUGCUGACAGAGCCUGCACUUGGCCCCUCCAGGCUGCAUUUCCACACUUCACAGGACCAAGUCUGAUUGAUGGAAUUUGUUUGAACAUUGCUUUCUGGAGGCCUUGUGCCGCCGCCUCCUCCACACAGAACAUAUGUGCACGCACUCCCCGGGGCAGCGCUCGAAUGCACGCAUCGUGUGGCUGCGUUUGUUUAGGGUGUGCCCUGUGGUCUGAGGGGACCUUUCCCAUGACCCGCAGCUUCCUCGGUGGGCCGCGCACUGAUGUCUGGGCUGGGGGCGUCUCUCCUGGGGGCGGCUGCCCUCUCCCCAGCCGUGCCCGGCUGAUGGAUCAUCUGGGCCGCACGCAGCAUUCUUCUCCCCUUAGCUGUGAGGAGGAGGGAGAGGAAGAGGGAUAAAAGGCCCUAAACAGCUCCCAUCUGUUGUCGCGCUGUGCUGUGGACCGGGAGCCUCACAUUUGCCCAGCCCUUUCCUCUGUGGGUUCCAGGAGUUUUAUCUCAUUAACCCCAGGGUCCCCAGAGCAUAGACCAAGCUCAGUAAGCCAUGUGGGGGUCUCACCAUCCCGCCCGCGUGCCCAGGUCACACUGUGGCCCCCACCGGCUGCGCACGGCAGGCCAGUGCUCACCCGGCUCUUCCCACGCGGUGCUUCUCCUCUGGCCCCGAGACCCAUCCUCACAGACCAUGGCUUUCUGGCACUUCUGUAGCCUGAAAGCUCCCUUGGACUCCUGGGUGUCCCUCCCUGCACUUUAGGCCCACAAAGUAUCACCUCACGCAUCCCCAGACUCCAGUCCUGAGCAGCCCUGGCCCAUUGGAGCGUCCACUUCCUCUGCAGGGUGGAUAGAUUGGUGAGACGUGUGUGAGAGCCUGCUCCAAGCCUGGAGUGUGUCAGCAGGUUCUCAGCAUUAUCACCAUCUGUGGGGCCGAGCUGGGCAGCAUCACUAAGUCAGCUUCAAGCUGCUCAUCCUAGGCAGCGGGUAACCACAGGACGGUCCAAACGGUGCAGCGUCCAGGUCAAGAGUAGGGAAGCCAGUGUGCUCAUUCCGCUGUCCAUUGGCUUCUCCUCCGCGGUGACCUUAGAUUUGAGAAGCCGUGGGGUGGAGGAGCUGGGCCCCUGAGUCACAACCUGGAGAGGCUUCCACUGGCCCAGCCCUGGAGACGGGGAACCCUGCAGCUCCUGCCCCUGUGCUCUGCAGCAGCCUCCCUUGUGAGGCUGUCCAGGCGUUCCCAGUGCACCUGGCCCUCCUGCAGUGGGAGGCUUCAGGGAUGCAGGAAGCCAUGGCCUGCCCGGUGCUCACUUCCCCACGAGCCCUGCACUCAGAGCUCUGCCCACACAGAGGCCGACUGGAAUCAGGCCCAGGUCCCGAACUGCUUCUCUAGCACGUUCGGGGUUCACAGACCUUUUGACAGUGAGAUCCCACCUGAGAGCCAGUGUCUUGAACAGCAGGCCAAUAAGUGAAACUUGUACGGAACAUCUAAAAUCGCCCAUUAAGACUCCAGGUUUUAUGUCAGAAGAAAGGACAUGCUUGACUAAUUACAGUAUACAUGAAGGGCCAACCACCUUGCAGAGGACAGCUCUGAGCAGAGGGUCCACACAGUCGCCAGGUCUCAGACAGGCCUGUGACGUGAGCACAUAGCCACCUCUCUCCCACUCACCUGUGUUGUCUGAGUCUUCCCUGGGCCAGCAGUUGUCACACCUUGCCAAGUGUGUGGACCCUAGCAGUUUCCUGAAGCAGACCAGGAGGGAAGAGGCUGCCAGGGUCCAGCGGUGACCAGGCCUAGGCAUCUUCCGUGUGUUCUCCUGCGCGUCUGGGGGACCAGGCCCUUCCUUUUGCUGCCUCUUGGUGGCCUCCAGCCUCCACAAGGUCUGCGGGGUACCACAGGGCUCUCUGAGUGUCUGCGGAACAGACGUGCGUGUACACGCCCAGCAGCGCACAAGUAGACAAGCCUGACCCUGCGCCGCUCUGACGCCCUGCCAACCAGUGUAGGUCAGAAAGAACCGCACUGCGCCACAUCCCAGGCUGGACAGCACGGCAUUUCCUGCAGUGUCUCCUGGCUUAGGAUUCAAAACCUUCCUGGGGAUGGAGGCCUCCCGAGACAGCGGAUGAGGAGGCCAUGCGCCCUGCCAGCGGUCCCAGCGGGCAGUGCUGUGCUAAGUGUGUGCCGGGCUGGGGUGUGGCUCGGAGGUGAGUGCUGGCUCUGCUACACGGGGCCCUGGGCUCCAACUGCAGUGCUGCAGAAAGAGGACUAGGGGAGGGGCUGUAUAUCUAGUUCUCUACUUCCUGUGUGAGCGAUGCCACGCAGCCUAUGGUCGAGGACACGGAGCUCUGUGCAAGCGGGGAGGUGUGGCACCCGCCCGCCGGGCAGGAAGUCUCAGAACAGUGACUUUGGGGCUGGCCCUCAUGGCAGGAGGGCCACUUCCACUUUGGCCGCACAGGCCCCAUCCCCAGACUGGGGCCCCUGUUCCCGCCACGCCACGUGUGCGACUGGGAAGGGACUGUUGAUGCUUCUGUAAGCUGCUCCGUUUAUCCCUGGGUAAAUAUUAAUCUGGUGCAGUCAAACACGUGAUAUAUUGCCAGCCACUUCAUGUGCGCGUCCUCAGGGACACAGGGGCCCUUAGCUCCAUUUGUCUCGCGUCUGCAUUUUAAAUAUUUAACAAAGACAACACAAUGUUAUGGGAAAAGCAGCUUAAAAUCUAGACAUGUGGGUCUGAGGAAACGAUUUUGCCUCUUUUUGUUUAACUUUUUCCUUUUAUUUUUAGCAACAAACACACACACACACACACACACACACACACACACACACUACGCAGCCCGGAGCGCUUCCACCCCUGCUUUCCUGGGUGAUAUACACUUACGGAGACAUGUCUGCGCUGCGCUCCACAGCUAUGGCUGCUCUGCCAAGAGGGCACAUCCCGUCACUCGGCCGUGUUUGUGCACGCUGUCACCGAGCCCUGAGCCCAGGCACACCACGGCCAGGCCACCGGCAGGGGAGGGAGAGCCCUCCGGAAGGUCACAGGAGGCAGAGGGCACAGUCUCGGCUGGUGUCUCCACGCCUGUGGCGCGCAGAUCUGGGAUGGCUGCCUGCCCCGGCGCAGAGCCCCAGGCGGACACUGACAGUCAGUGGGAGUCUCACUUCCGUGGCCUCGGUCUUCGGAAGGAGACUGUGAGUGUCAGAACGUGUCAAGGUGUGAGUCUGGGAGUGAGGGUGCGGAUGUGUGAGCGCAAGUGCGAGAUCGAGUUUGAGAAGGGCUGAGAGUGUGAACAGGGAGCGAGUGUUUAAUCUGUCCAUGUGAGAAAGAGUGAGUUUGAGAAUGCGUCUGUGAGGAUGAGCUGGAAUGAGUGUGUAUUAGAUGGUGAGCUGAGUCUGCGGGCAAGCAGUGUCUGCAAGCGUCACAGUGACACCACAAAAGUGUCGGGGUGUGUGAGUCUGGGCGUGAGCAGGGUCUGAAGCUGUCAGAGUACAAGAUAAGAGCGUGAGUGUGCAUCGAAGUAAGCGGGUAUCCAAAAGUGUGCGAGAGUGGGCUGGGGGCGUCACAGUGUAAACGCAAAUCUGGAGGCAGGGAUGUGCCUAAAGUGUCUGUAGGCCUGAGAGUAUCAGAGUGUGCAGGUAAAUCUGAAAGCGAAUGCGUAUUUAAAUGUGUCUGAGAGUGACCCUAAGAGCGUCAAAGUGCGAGUGCAAGUCUAGGGUGAGCAGGUGACUGAACGUGUCUGAGGGUGUGUGCCUGGGCAUCUUGAGUGUGGAUGUGCUAGGGAGUGAGGGUCAGAAAGUGUCUUCGAGUGCGAGCCCGUGGUGCCCGAGUGUGAGCGUGAGUCUGGGAUGAGUGCGUGUCCGAAGCGUCUGAGAGUGUUGGGUUUUAAGUGGAGUCUGAGAGUGAGGAAGUUUCCACAAGCUUCUGAGAGUGAGUCCGGGAGUGAGUGGGUGUCUCAGAGUACCUGAGUGCGAGCCUGAGAGCUCGCACGUGAGUAGGUGAAUGGGUGACCAAAAGUGCCUGAGAGUGAGAGCCUAAGUGUGUCAGAGUGUGAGUGCCAGCAAAGUGUCUGAGAGUGUGAACCUGAGGGUGUUGCAGCGGGGGUAGGAGUCUGCAGGUGAGCAGGGGUGUGAGGCAUCUAGCAGUAUAAGUGUGCGUGUGCUGGAGUGGGAGUCUGAGGGUGAGUCAGUACCUUGCAGUGUCUGAGAAUGUGAGCCCAAGGAUUCUGGAGUGUGAAUGUGAUCCUGGGAGACAGUGGGUGUGUCAGAGUGUCACCGAGUGUGAGCCCAGCCAUGUCAGAGUGUGUGAGUCUGGGUGGGGGUUGAUGUCAGAAAGUUUUGCGGAUGUGAGCCCGAGAGUGUCCAGUGUGAGUGUGGGCCUUAGAGUCAGCCAGCGCCUGAAAGCGUGUGAGAGUUGGAGACUGCGAGUGUGCACCUGCAGAUGACGGGGUGUCUGAAAGUGCCUGGGACUGGGAGCCAAAGUCUCCAAGUGUGAGCGUGCAAAUUAGUGAGUAUCUGAACGUGUCUUAUAAUGGACCCCAGGGUCAGUGUAAGGCCGGCAGUGAGCAGGUAUCUGAGAGUGCCUGAGCGUGUGAGUCCCGCUGCUGAGGCAGCAGAAACACUGAAACGUUGCCCGGGACUUGGAGGCCCCGGACUGCGCGAGGCUGAGGACACCCCGCCGGCUGUGCUGUGUCGGGCCGGGGCCCGGACUGAGGGCUCUGGCCGUGUCACCCCACUGCUCCUCCCGAACAGUGCACACCUUCCCACUAAGGCCUGCCCCUGCUCCCCCAGCACCCCGGCCCGAUGCGGGGAUGACGCUCUGGUCAGGCUUGCAGUGUCGCCCUGUGUCUCUCCUCCCUGAGCCCCCAGGGGCACGCACACGGUCACAGCCACUGGCCGGCUGGGCCCUCGCGUCCCUUCCUUCCUCUGAAGUGGCCUCUGGACAGCACUGUGGUUUCCACUGGCAAGGCUGUGCUGGCACAAACACACCCCCACACGUGCACAUUCACACAUGCACAUGCUGCACUGACUAUACACAUGUACUCACACACACAACACUCUCAUGCAUUUGUGAGUGCUCACACACAACCACAUCAUGCACACGAACACUCCCAUGUGCAUGCACACAUGUGCACACACAUGCGUGUCUACACGGUCACACAAACACACACUUGCAUUCAAUGUUGACUGCUCACAGAUACACACAACCACACUCACACACAUUUAUAUAUGUGCACUUGCCCCCACAUGCCAACUCACAGAUUGACCCAACACAUCCAUGCACGAACACACU
RNAcentral lists this long non-coding RNA (6308 nucleotides) under Chinchilla lanigera (long-tailed chinchilla). RNAcentral describes it as "lncRNA (ENSCLAG00000025114.1)". Lineage: Eukaryota; Metazoa; Chordata; Mammalia; Rodentia; Chinchillidae. The record is from RNAcentral.